RNAcentral lists this ribosomal RNA (678 nucleotides) under uncultured bacterium. RNAcentral describes it as "bacterial SSU rRNA". It matches the Rfam family "Bacterial small subunit ribosomal RNA", at positions 733 to 1399 of the family's 1533-position model. The record is from RNAcentral.
ACUGUAACUGACGGUUGAGGCUUGGAAAAGCGUGGGGGAGCAAAACAGAAUUAUAUACCCUGGUAGUUCACGCCGUAAACGAUGAUUACUAGGUGUCGGAGGGGUAGGGGACCCUCCCGGUGCCGGCAGCAAACGCAGUAAGUAAUCCACCUGGGGGAGUACGUUCGCAAGAAUGAAACUCAAAGGAAUUGACGGGGGCCCGCACAAGCGGUGGAGCAUGUGGUUUUAUCUGAAGCAACGCGAAGAACCUUACCAAGUCUUGACAUCUGGAUGACAGGGACGUAACGGUCCCCCUACUUCGGUACAUCCAAGACAGGUGGUGCAUGGUUGUCGUCAGCUCGUGUCGUGAGAUGUUGGGGUAAGUCCCGCAACGAGCGCAACCCUUAUCCUUAGUAGCCAGCGGGCAGGGCCGGGCACUCUAGGGAGACUGCCGGGGAUAACCCGGAGGAAGGUGGGGAGGACGUCAAAUCAUCAUGCCCCUUAUGAUUUGGGCUACACACGUGCUACAAUGGCGUAAACAGAGGGAAGCGAACCCGCGAGGGGGAGCAAAUCCCAAAAAUAACGUCCCAGUUCGGAUUGUAGCCUGCAACCCGGCUACAUGAAGCUGGAAUCGCUAGUAAUCGCGGAUCAGAAUGCCGCGGUGAAUACGAUCCCGGGUCUUGUACACACCCCCCCUCA